Molecule: ribosomal RNA, 441 nt
Filed under: uncultured bacterium
Lineage: Bacteria
Description: partial 16S ribosomal RNA
Rfam family: Bacterial small subunit ribosomal RNA
Source: RNAcentral
CCUACGGGAGGCAGCAGUUGGGGAUAUUGCACAAUGGGGGAAACCCUGAUGCAGCGACGCCGCGUGGGUGAAGAAGUAUUUCGGUAUGUAAAGCCCUAUCAGCAGGGAAGAAAGAAGACGGUACCUGACUAAGACGCCCCGGCUAACUACGUGCCAGCAGCCACGGUAAUACGUAGGGGGCGAGCGUUAUCCGGAUGCACUGGGUGUAAAGGGUGCGUAGACGGCCGUGCAAGCCAGGAGUGAAAGCCCGGGGCCCAACCCCGGGACUGCUCUUGGAACUGGGCGGCUGGAGUGCGGGAGGGGCAGGCGGAAUUCCUGGUGUAGCGGUGAAAUGCGCAGAUAUCAGGAGGAACACCAGCGGCGAAGGCGGCCUGCUGGACCGCGACUGACGUUGAGGCUCGAAAGCGUGGGGAGCGAACAGGAUUAGAUACCCGAGUAGUC